Molecule: ribosomal RNA, 462 nt
Filed under: uncultured bacterium
Lineage: Bacteria
Description: partial 16S ribosomal RNA
Rfam family: Bacterial small subunit ribosomal RNA
Source: RNAcentral
CUACGGGGGGCACCAGUCGAGAAUCUUCCGCAAUGGACGAAAGUCUGACGGAGCGACGCCGCGUGCGGGAUGAAGGCCUUCGGGUUGUAAACCGCUGUCAGUGGGGAGGAAAUGCAUCAGGGUUCUCCCUGGUGUUUGACCGAUCCGCAAAGGAAGCGCAGGCUAAGUUCGUGCCAGCGAGCCGCGGUAACACGAACCGCGCGAACGUUAUUCGGAAUCACUGGGCUUAAAGAGUUCGUAGGCGGCCUUUCAAGUCGGGUGUGAAAUCCCUCGGCUCAACCGAGGAAUUGCGCCUGAUACUGUUGGGCUUGAGGGGGAUAGGGGUGAGCGGAACUGAUGGUGGAGCGGUGAAAUGCGUUGAUAUCAUCAGGAACACCGGUGGCGAAGGCGGCUCACUGGAUCUCUUCUGACGCUGAGGAACGAAAGCUAGGGGAGCGAACGGGAUUAGAUACCCUCGUAGUC